CCUACGGGGGGCUGCAGUGGGGAAUAUUGGACAAUGGGCGCAAGCCUGAUCCAGCAAUGCCGCGUGUGUGAAGAAGGCCUGCGGGUUGUAAAGCACUUUAAGCAGGAAAGAAGUGGUGGGAGUUAAUACCUUUCAUCAUUGACGUUACCUGCAGAAUAAGCACCGGCUAACUCCGUGCCAGCAGCCGCGGUAAUACGGAGGGUGCGAGCGUUACGCGGAAUUACUGGGCGUGGAUCGCGCGUUGGGUCGUGAAAGCCCCGGGCUUAACCUGGGAACUGCGGUGGAUACUGUCGGGCUAGAGUGUGGUAGAGGGGAGUGGAAUUUCCGGUGUAGCAGUGAAAUGCGUAGAGACCGGAAGGAACACCAGUGGCGAAGGCGGCUCCCUGGACUAACACUGACGCUGAGGUGCGAAAGCGUGGGGAGCAAACAGGAUUAGAUACCCCAGUAGUC
This 450-nucleotide ribosomal RNA is filed under the name uncultured bacterium. RNAcentral's name for it is "partial 16S ribosomal RNA". It matches the Rfam family "Bacterial small subunit ribosomal RNA", at positions 338 to 795 of the family's 1533-position model. The record is from RNAcentral.